UGUGAUUUCACGUUGCUCGAUCCUUGGCAGAGUUAAAAUUUCUUAUUUAUUCUCUUAUAUUUUAAGAAAAUUCGAAGCAACGUAUGGAAGAGAGCUGUUCCUUAUACACGCAAACUGACCCAAAGUUCAUUCCACAGUUUUGCAUCAGUAUGUAAAAAUAUCUUCCAGCCAGUUUUCUACAAAAAAAAAAACACUGCGCGUUCACACGUUGAGUGAGUCUGCGUAUCUGACAUCCUCUAAUAUCACAGCAUCAUGUAAUCUCCAAGAGAUUAUUCUCGUUGAUAUUUUAUGUAUACGCUUCUACGAAACAAGGCGUAUAUGGCUUAAAAUCGUGACGCAAUUCCAUUUCCACGACUGUCCGAAUGGCUCGAUAGCGAAUCCUUCCUUUUAACAAUUGCAUUUACGCUUCCCACGGACGAGGUACCGUCAUGAGAUAAUGACGAUAUGACGGAGUACAGCCGAGCCUGCAAGGCAGCCUCCAUCGAAUGUCUUUCAUUAUUUUCAAUCACCAUACCGUCGGAGGCGAAAUAGUACCUACAAAAAAUAAAUAAAUAAAUUUAUACGUCGUCAAUAUAUCUUAUA
Molecule: long non-coding RNA, 582 nt
Organism: Wasmannia auropunctata (little fire ant)
Lineage: Eukaryota; Metazoa; Arthropoda; Insecta; Hymenoptera; Formicidae
Exons: 2
Source: RefSeq, a predicted model, not a curated record